Molecule: long non-coding RNA, 784 nt
Filed under: Citrus x clementina
Lineage: Eukaryota; Viridiplantae; Streptophyta; Magnoliopsida; Sapindales; Rutaceae
Description: Citrus clementina (C. clementina) long non-coding RNA (CCLE_LNC006178)
Source: RNAcentral
GCACCGCCUCGGGGGCCGCAAAGAAGGGGCCGUAACUCAUGAUCGGGGCCCCCGAUUCCGUUUCUGUUUCGUACCACGGGACCAGCGGUCCGGGGGCAUCGGGAUGGGGGGGUAGCCGCGCGGCAGUUUGAACGGCGAAAAAUGGGCAAGAUCGGGGGCCGCUUAGUAGGCUUUGCCGGUUUCGGCCGUAACUCAUGAUCCGGGCCUCCGAUUCCGUUUCCGUUUGGUCCCACGGGACCAGCGGUCCGGGGGCAUCGGGACGGGGGGGUAGCCGUGCGGCGGUUUGAUCGCCGAAAAAUGGGUAAGAUCGGGGCCGUUUGGCCCGUUUUGCCGGUUUCGGCCCCCCGGGGGGCGGUUCAUGCCCCGCGGGGGAGAGCGGGGCGGGAUCGGCACGCGGCGGGUGAGGUGGUCGGGUUCGGGCGGGUGCGGUCGGCGGCGGGGGCGCCCGGGGGGCUAUAGCGCACGUACUCGGGGGCCGCAAAGAAGGGGCCGUAACUCAUGAUCGGGGCCCCCGAUUCCGUUUCCGUUUCGUACCACGGGACCCGCGGUCCGGGGGCAUCGGGAUGGGGGGGUAGCCGCGCGGCAGUUUGAACGGCGAGGAAUGGGCAAGAUCGGGGGCCGCUUAUUACGCUUUGCCGGUUUCAGCCGUAACUCAUGAUCCGGGCCUCCGAUUCCGUUUCCGUUUGGUCCCACGGGACCAGCGGUCCGGGGGCAUCGGGAUGGGGGGGUAGCCGUGCGGCGGUUUGAUCGCCGAAAAAUGGGUAAGAUCGGGGCCGUUUGGCCC